GACGAACGCUGGCGGCAUGCCUAAUACAUGCAAGUCGAGCGAACAGAUGAAGUGCUUGCACUUCUGACGUUAGCGGCGAACGGGUGAGUAACACGUAAGGAAUCUACCUAUAAGCGGGGGAUAACAUUCGGAAACGGGUGCUAAUACCGCAUAAUAUCUUCUUCCGCAUGGAAGAAGAUUGAAAGACGGCUCUGCUGUCACUUAUAGAUGACCUUGCGGUGCAUUAGUUAGUUGGUGGGGUAAUGGCCUACCAAGACGAAGAUGCAUAGCCGAACUGGGAGGGUGAUCGGCCACAUUGGGACUGGGACACGGCCCAAACUCCUACGGGAGGCAGCAGUAGGGAAUCUUCCGCAAUGGGCGAAAGCCUGACGGAGCAAUGCCGCGUGAGUGAAGAAGGCCUUCGGGUCGUAAAACUCUGUUAUAAGAGAAGAACAAAUUGUAGAGUAACUGCUACAGUCUUGACGGUAUCUUAUCAGAAAGCCACGGCUAACUACGUGCCAGCAGCCGCUGUAA
RNAcentral lists this ribosomal RNA (513 nucleotides) under uncultured bacterium. RNAcentral's name for it is "partial 16S ribosomal RNA". It matches the Rfam family "Bacterial small subunit ribosomal RNA", at positions 28 to 523 of the family's 1533-position model. The record is from RNAcentral.